AAGAAAUUAGUUAAUAUAUAACAUUAGCUUGUCAAACUAAAAUAACUUCAGUAUCUCUUG
RNAcentral lists this transfer RNA (60 nucleotides) under Eurythenes magellanicus. RNAcentral describes it as "tRNA-Asp". The record is from RNAcentral. Lineage: Eukaryota; Metazoa; Arthropoda; Malacostraca; Amphipoda; Lysianassidae. RNAcentral also lists the same sequence under 1 other name.